GAUGAACGCUAGCUACAGGCUUAACACAUGCAAGUCGAGGGGAAACGACAUCGAAAGCUUGCUUUUGGUGGGCGUCGACCGGCGCACGGGUGAGUAACGCGUAUCCAACCUGCCCACCACUUGGGAAUAACCUUGCGAAAGUAAGACUAAUACCCAAUGAUAUCCCAUGAAGGCAUCCGAAUGGGAUUAAAGAUUUAUCGGUGAUGGAUGGGGAUGCGUCUGAUUAGGUAGUAGGCGGGGCAACGGCCCACCUAGCCGACGAUCAGUAGGGGUUCUGAGAGGAAGGUCCCCCCACAAUUGGAACUGAGACACGGUCCAAACUCCUACGGGAGGCAGCAGUGAGGAAUAUUGGUCAAUGGGCGCGAGCCUGAACCAGCCAAGUAGCGUGCGGGAGAAGGCCCUAUGGGUUGUAAACUGCUUUUAUACGGGGAUAAAGUGAGCCACGUGUGGCUUAUUGCAGGUACCGUAUGAAUAGGACCGGCUAAUUCCGUGCCAGCAGCC
RNAcentral lists this ribosomal RNA (501 nucleotides) under uncultured bacterium. RNAcentral's name for it is "bacterial SSU rRNA". It matches the Rfam family "Bacterial small subunit ribosomal RNA", at positions 28 to 516 of the family's 1533-position model. The record is from RNAcentral.